AUCAAAAACAUGGCUUUUCGUUAAAUGAGGAUGGGGAGUCUGGCCUGCCCGGUGGACUUGUCUAAACCGGNNCGCAGCUAUCACUGUGCUAAGGUAGCGUAAUAGGUCGUCCUUUAAUUGGGGAAAGGUAUGAAUGGUUGGAUGAUGGAGAAGCUUUAUUGGAGGUAUUUGUUUGAAUUUUACUUUUGGUGUGCAAAGGCCUAAAUGAUGUUAUUAGACGAGAAGACCCUGUUGAGCUUGGUACACGGUGAUCGGGUUGGUCGCUGGAUAUGUUUUUUCGGGGUCGAAAGGAAGGGAUAAAAAUACCUUCUUUGUAUUAUGUAGAUCCAGUAGGGCUGAUAAGAGGAAGAUAGUUACCACAGGGAUAACAGCGCAAUUUUCUUGUCAAGGUCUUAUUUGAGGGGAAGUUUGCGACCUCGAUGUUGAAUCAGAGUCUCUAUAUGGUGUAGCAGCUUUAUCAGCGGGACUGUUCGUCCUUUGAAGCUGUACGUGAUCUGAGUUACAGACCG
This 509-nucleotide ribosomal RNA is filed under the name Asaphis violascens. RNAcentral describes it as "partial 16S ribosomal RNA". It matches the Rfam family "Bacterial large subunit ribosomal RNA", at positions 1806 to 2618 of the family's 2925-position model. The record is from RNAcentral. Lineage: Eukaryota; Metazoa; Mollusca; Bivalvia; Cardiida; Psammobiidae.